RNAcentral lists this non-coding RNA (28 nucleotides) under Mus musculus (house mouse). Lineage: Eukaryota; Metazoa; Chordata; Mammalia; Rodentia; Muridae. The record is from RNAcentral.
UUGUUCUUCUUAGUUCCAUAGAACACUA